UAUUGGGCGUAAGGGAGCGCAGGCGGUUGGAAUAGUCUGAUGUGAAAGCCCACGGCUUAACCGUGGAAGGUCAUUGGAAACUGUCCAACUUGAAUGCAGAAGAGGUAAGUGGAAUUCCAUGUGUAGCGGUGAAAUGCGUAGAUAUAUGGAGGAACACCAGUGGCGAAGGCGACUUACUGGUCUGUGAUUGACGCUGAGGCUCGAAAGCGUGGGUAGCGAACAGGAUUAGAUACCCUGGUAGUCCACGCCGUAAACGAUGAGUGCUAAGUGUUGGAGGGUUUCCGCCCUUCAGUGCUGGAGUUAACGCAUUAAGCACUCCGCCUGGGGAGUACGGCCGCAAGGCUGAAACUCAAAGGAAUUGACGGGGACCCGCACAAGCGGUGGAGCAUGUGGUUUAAUUCGACGCAACGCGAAGAACCUUACCAGCUCUUGACAUCUUCUGUUCACUCUAGAGAUAGAGCUUCCCCUUCGGGGGCAGAAUGACAGGUGGUGCAUGGUUGUCGUCAGCUCGUGUCGUGAGAUGUUGGGUUAAGUCCCAUAACGAGCGCAACCCUUAUUGUUAGUUGCCAGCAUUCAGUUGGGCACUCUAGCGAGACUGCCGGUGAUAAACCGGAGGAAGGUGGGGAUGACGUCAAAUCAUCAUGCCCCUUAUGAGCUGGGCUACACACGUGCUACAAUGGACGGUACAACGGGUAGCGAGGGCGCGAGCCUUAGCAAAUCCUAAUAAGCCGUUCUCAGUUCGGAUUGUUCUCUGCAACUCGAGAGCAUGAAGCCGGAAUCGCUAGUAAUCGCGGAUCAGAAUGCCGCGGUGAAUACGUUCCCGGGUCUUGUACACACCGCCCGUCACACCACGAGAGUUCGUA
RNAcentral lists this ribosomal RNA (863 nucleotides) under uncultured Bacillota bacterium. RNAcentral describes it as "SSU rRNA". It matches the Rfam family "Bacterial small subunit ribosomal RNA", at positions 552 to 1416 of the family's 1533-position model. The record is from RNAcentral. Lineage: Bacteria; Bacillati; Bacillota.